Molecule: long non-coding RNA, 2320 nt
Filed under: Sus scrofa (pig)
Lineage: Eukaryota; Metazoa; Chordata; Mammalia; Artiodactyla; Suidae
Description: lncRNA (ENSSSCG00035057531.1)
Source: RNAcentral
UCCUUGGCUGUGGCAUUCCUCUCUGCAGCCCAUGGCACACCGCUCCCUAGCCAGUCAGGCUGUCUCCACACAGCCAACCCUCGUCCUCUCCCUGGAAUUUACCUCCGGAGCCUGAGCCUCAGCGCCCAGCCACCCCGCAAGCAUCUCAGGCUGCGGUGUCCAGUUAUUGUUUCCUGCUGAAAGGCAGUGUUCUCUCUGAGGCCCAAAGACUGACAUUUCUGUGGACUUAAUCUACAUGUCCAAGGACACUUCAAAGAUAUGUUGAAAACUAAGACUUACAGUUGAGUCUCUGAUGAGACUGCAGCCCCUGCUGAUACCUGGAUUGCAGCUUGGUUAAGAGCCUGAACAAAGGACCCAGAUAUGACUGAGGACUUAAACUGCUUUUGUCCUGAUGCAUCAUGGUCACAGAGAAGACUUGUCUGAUGAACAGUGAAAAUUUUAAUGCCUUAAUUACACUGAUUGAUUUUUAAACACUAGAAUAAUCUCGUAUCAUGGAAAAAUCCUACUUGCUUGUAAUAACAUAUUUUUUUUAAAUAUAUUGUUGGAUUUAAUUUGCCAAAAAUAUUAAGAAUAUUCCAUUUAUGGUAGUGAGGAGUUUUGGUCUGUAGUCUUCUUUUCCUGUAAUGUAGUGAGAAGUAUUCCCUCCUCUUCAAUUUUAUGGAAGAGUUUGUCUAGAACUGGUACCAUUCUAAACGCUUGAUAAAAUUCGGCAACAAAACCUUCGGAGCCUGGAGUUUCUUUUUGGAAAGAUAUAAUAACAAAUUCAAUUUCUUUAAUAGUCAUAGGGUUGGUCAGGUAAUUUAUUGUCUCUUACAAGUAAUUUGUCCAUUUUAUCUGAGUUGUCAAAUUUAUUAUUAUAAAAUUAUUCAUAAUAUUAUUUUAUUGUCCAUUUAAUACCUGUAGCAUCUGGAGUGACAACUUUUAGUUCCUGAUAUUGAUUAUUUGUGUCAUUGCACCUCAUGUUUGGAUUAGUAUGGCUAGAAUUUUAAUAAUUUUAUUGAUCUUCUGAAAGAAAGUUAUUUUGGUUUCACUGAUUUUCUCUACAGUUAUCUUUGUUCUGUUUCAUUAAUUUCUGCUCUUAUUUCUUUCAUUCUGAUUAUUUUGGGCUUCAUUUGCUCUUCUUUUUCUAGUUUCUGAAGUUACCCCAAGUUUACUGAUUUGAGGUUACUGAUCUUUCUUCUUUUCUAAUACAUGUAUUUAAUGCUAUAAAUUUUUCUUUAUAUAGCACUUUAACUGCAUAUUCUAUAUUUUUAUAUGUUGUACAUUCAUUUUCAUUCAGCUCAUACUCUUUUUUAAUUUCCUUUUUCAUUCUUUUUAGAAUCAGAUUAUAUAGUUUUUUUGUUUCCAAGUAUUGAGGAAUUUCCCAUAUCUUUUUUGUUAUUAAUUUGUAAUUUAAUUCCAUUUUUGUCAGAGAACAUAUUUAAUAGUACCGGAAUCUUUUUAAAUUUAUGGAGGCUUGUUUUAUGGCUCAGAACAGAAGAGGGUCUAUGAAUGAGCCAGAACAAAUGGCUCAUUGCACUUGUAAAGAAUGUAUAGUCUGCAAUUCCAGGUGUGUUCGACAGAUAUCUAUUAGGUCAGGGUAGAUGAUAGUGCAGACUAAAUACCCUUACUAAAUUUUUCUUUGUCAUACUAAUUAUUGGAAGAAAGAUAUUGGAAUAUAGAUGACUAAGUGUGGGUCUGUGCAUUUAUCCUGCAUUUUUACUUUUUGUUUCAUGUGGUUUUUUUUUUUUCCUUUUUAUUUUCUUUCUUUCUUUCCUUUUUUUUUUUUUUAAAAAAAAGAAGUGGCCACAUCUGCGACAUAUGGAAGUUCCCACACAAGGGGUUGAGCCACAGCCACUGUAGAAGCAACACCAAGUAGUUAUGCUAUGAGCACAUGGGAAGUCCGCUUCAUGUGUUUUGAAGCUAUGUGAGGUACAGAAACAUUUAGGAUUAUUGCAUUAAUUUUUCAUGAUUAUAAAAUGCUUUGCUUAUCCAUGAUAAUAAUAUGCAUUCUUCUGAAGCCUCAAUUUUUUUCUGAUAUUAAUAUAGCCACCUCAGAAUUUUUAAAAAUUAGUGUUAGCAUAGUAUAUCAUUUUCCAUACCUUUACUUUUAACUUAUUUAGGUAUUAUUUAUACUUGUUUCUGUAGAUGUAGAGAAGCUGUGUGUAUUAUUAAUCUUUCCCUUUGAUUUUAGUUGGUCCAUUCCAUUAAGGUUAAAUUCUUCCCCAAACACAUCUCAAACAUAGACUUUAUACACUUUCAUGGAGUUAUCUCAAGACCUGUUCAGUAUAUUUUAUAUCAACUGAAAGGGACAACACAUAUAAAUUGAAAAAAAAAAAAA